AGGAGGAACAACUGCAGUGGCGGCGGCCAGCUCUGGAGCCCUGGAUUCAGCUCCCGCAGUAACUGCAGAGCUCUCCGUCUGCAGGGCCUGGAGGCUCCGGGGCGGG
This 106-nucleotide microRNA precursor is filed under the name Canis lupus familiaris (dog). Its description in RNAcentral is "mir-8834 microRNA precursor family". It matches the Rfam family "mir-8834 microRNA precursor family". RNAcentral also lists the same sequence under 1 other name. The record is from Rfam by way of RNAcentral. Lineage: Eukaryota; Metazoa; Chordata; Mammalia; Carnivora; Canidae.